ACGAUGGAUCAUCAAGGGAGACGAGUGUUAUUCAUCUUUAACAGGUAUAUAGGGUACCUAGACGGUGUGCAAUGGCUUAAAUAAGUACCUGGUACACUUGAGUUUGAUAUGUGAGAGGAAUAUGUCGGAAUUGUUGGAGUAGAGAUGAAAUGUACUAAUACCAAUAGGACUGAUAACGGCGAAGGCAAACCUCUAUGUACAUGUACUUGCUAUUUCUAUUUGUUUAUUUUUUUUUCAUUAGAAAAAAAAAACUAAAAAUCUCUUAUAAAAUAUAUAAGAUAGAUAAAGAGGAAAAGAGCAAUGUACUAUAACUGACGUUGAGGGACGAAGGCUCAGAGAGUGAAGAGGAUUAGAUACCCCCGUAACCUGGGCAGACAAUGAUGAGUGCCAUAGGUUGGCUUUAAGGCGGAACUAUAAAUGAAAGUGGAAGCACUCCACCUCAAGAGUAAUGUGGCAACGCAGGAACUGAAAUCAUUAGACCGUUUCUGAAACCAGUAGUGAAGU
RNAcentral lists this ribosomal RNA (504 nucleotides) under Alternaria brassicae. RNAcentral describes it as "partial small subunit ribosomal RNA". It matches the Rfam family "Bacterial small subunit ribosomal RNA", at positions 514 to 938 of the family's 1533-position model. The record is from RNAcentral. Lineage: Eukaryota; Fungi; Ascomycota; Dothideomycetes; Pleosporales; Pleosporaceae.